AGAGGACGCACGGGAGCCGAGGGAACUGCGGGAGACGCGAGCGGCUUCUCAGCACCGUUGCCUGUCCUGCGAAGAGACAUGAGUCACAAGGGAUCCCUCAACAGCAACCCUGGCUCAUCAAACGGGAGCCUGGGGAAAGCGGACGGAGCCGCCAAGCUGAGCGCCAAGGACCUGUACGGUAAGUCGUGCCCACAAACCCCUCUGAGGUUUCCUACAGAAAAAGCCCCUCUGGAGACGUGGAGGCAGUUGUUGGGGAGUUUUAAGCUGGAACUCAAUCAAAGCCAGGUGAACCCAGG
RNAcentral lists this long non-coding RNA (296 nucleotides) under Calidris pygmaea (Spoon-billed sandpiper). RNAcentral's name for it is "lncRNA (ENSCPGG00000002080.1)". The record is from RNAcentral. Lineage: Eukaryota; Metazoa; Chordata; Aves; Charadriiformes; Scolopacidae.